GGGCUGUUCGUAAGUGGCGAUGGAGCCAAGGCCGGAGAUUUCACUUUUGUGCUUGGAGCUGGCGCUGGAACCGCUGCUGGUGGAGAGGCGAGAGGAGCCGGUGGAGGAGUUGCGGGAGGAGGAGUUGCAGGUGGAGGAGUGGCCGGUGGGGGAGUGGCCGGUGGUGGAGUAGCCGGUGGAGGAGUGGCGGGCGGAGGGGUGGCCGGUGGAGGUGUUGCUGGUGGAGGGGUUGCUGGUGGAGGAGUGGCUGGUGGAGGAGUGGCCGGUGGUGGAGUGGCUGGGGGUGGAGUGGCCGGUGGUGGAGUGGCAGGCGGAGGAGUAGCCGGUGGCGGGGCUGAUACCGGAGGAGGAGACGAGGCGGGAGGAGAUGUAACAGCAGUUGGUGGUGACGCGGCGGGAGUUGUGGGGGUAGGAGGAGCUGGAGUGGCGGUGGGCCCUCCAGCGGGAGCCUGACCUCCAAC
RNAcentral lists this long non-coding RNA (461 nucleotides) under Vitis vinifera (wine grape). Its description in RNAcentral is "long non-coding RNA (VVIN_LNC000721)". The record is from RNAcentral. Lineage: Eukaryota; Viridiplantae; Streptophyta; Magnoliopsida; Vitales; Vitaceae.